GGUGAACGCUGGCGGCGUGCUUAAGACAUGCAAGUCGAACGCAGUCUUCGGACUGAGUGGCGCACGGGUGAGUAACACGUAACUGACCUACCCCCAAGUCGCGGAUAACUGGCCGAAAGGUCAGCUAAUACGUGAUGUGAUGUCCCCUUUCUGGGGGGCCAUUAAAGGUUUACUGCUUGGGGAUGGGGUUGCGUUCCAUCAGCUAGUUGGCGGGGUAAAGGCCCACCAAGGCAACGACGGAUAGCCGGCCUGAGAGGGUGGCCGGCCACAGGGGCACUGAGACACGGGUCCCACUCCUACGGGAGGCAGCAGUUAGGAAUCUUCCACAAUGGGCGAAAGCCUGAUGGAGCGACGCCGCGUGAGGGAUGAAGGUUCUCGGAUCGUAAACCUCUGAAUCAGGGACGAAAGACGCGUAAGCGGGAUGACGGUACCUGAGUAAUAGCACCGGCUAACUCCGUGCCAGCCGCCGCCGGUAAAAC
This 479-nucleotide ribosomal RNA is filed under the name uncultured bacterium. Its description in RNAcentral is "bacterial SSU rRNA". It matches the Rfam family "Bacterial small subunit ribosomal RNA", at positions 28 to 526 of the family's 1533-position model. The record is from RNAcentral.